GGCAUGGCUCAACCAUGGACACGCCUCUGAAAACUACGGAAACUUGAGGUCGGGAGAGGAAAGUGGAAUUCCUGGAGUAGCGGUGAAAUGCGUAGAUAUCAGGAGGAACACCAGUGGCGAAGGCGACUUUCUGGCCCGACACUGACGCUGAGGAGCGAAAGCCAGGGGAGCAAAAGGGAUUAGAUACCCCUGUAGUC
This 197-nucleotide ribosomal RNA is filed under the name uncultured bacterium. RNAcentral describes it as "partial 16S ribosomal RNA". It matches the Rfam family "Bacterial small subunit ribosomal RNA", at positions 601 to 795 of the family's 1533-position model. The record is from RNAcentral.